Molecule: long non-coding RNA, 485 nt
Organism: Oreochromis niloticus (Nile tilapia)
Lineage: Eukaryota; Metazoa; Chordata; Actinopteri; Cichliformes; Cichlidae
Exons: 3
Source: RefSeq, a predicted model, not a curated record
AUGGACUGCAGGUGUCCGUAUAUUGUGUUUGCGGUACUUAUUUAUCCAGCUAGCACUACAGAAGAGGUGGAGGGAGUGACGUUUUUUAAGUGGAAGAGAAAAGAGUGCGACAUGACUAAACUGAGAGAUGGAGAAAGCUGUAGGAACACAGACAGGACAGGAAAGGAAGAAGAGAGGUUUGAUUAAAGUGUCCUGUUUACUCUCUGCAGCCCUGUGGCCAUACCACCUCGGAGACUCUCCAGACCACCAAGGCCCUGGUGGCCUCCUUGGAUUGGUUGGUGACGGCCCUCACCAUGGGAACUGCAGGGAGAGGUGCUGGAGUGGGUGGAGGAGUGGCACGGACAGUGGCUUAGUGGUGGGGAUUUUUCAUGCUGCGAACCAAGCCAGAGGGUGAAGAUAUGAUUACAUGUGGCCGGUCCUUGACAUUCAAAAUAUAUAGGUAGGAUGUUGCAUUGUGUGGCCAGGUGACCUUUUAUAAUGCUCCU